RNAcentral lists this ribosomal RNA (442 nucleotides) under uncultured bacterium. Its description in RNAcentral is "partial 16S ribosomal RNA". It matches the Rfam family "Bacterial small subunit ribosomal RNA", at positions 338 to 795 of the family's 1533-position model. The record is from RNAcentral.
CCUACGGGUGGCUGCAGUGGGGAAUAUUGGGCAAUGGGCGCAAGCCUGACCCAGCAACGCCGCGUGAAGGAAGAAGGCUUUCGGGUUGUAAACUUCUUUUGUCAGGGAAGAGUAGAAGACGGUACCUGACGAAUAAGACACGGCUAACUACGUGCCAGCAGCCGCGGUAAUACGUAGGUGGCAAGCGUUGUCCGGAUUUACUGGGUGUAAAGGGCGUGUAGCCGGGUUGACAAGUCAGAUGUGAAAUCCUGCGGCUUAACCGCAGAACUGCAUUUGAAACUGGUGAUCUUGAGUACUGGAGAGGCAGAUGGAAUUCCUAGUGUAGCGGUGAAAUGCGUAGAUAUUACGAGGAACCCCAGUGGCGAAGGCAGUCUGCUGGACAGCAACUGACGGUGAGGCGCGAAAGCGUGGGGAGCAAACAGGAUUAGAUACCCUUGUAGUC